RNAcentral lists this ribosomal RNA (498 nucleotides) under uncultured bacterium. RNAcentral's name for it is "partial 16S ribosomal RNA". It matches the Rfam family "Bacterial small subunit ribosomal RNA", at positions 30 to 523 of the family's 1533-position model. The record is from RNAcentral.
AUUGAACGCUGGCGGCAUGCCUUACACAUGCAAGUCGAACGGUAACAGGUCUUCGGAUGCUGACGAGUGGCGGACGGGUGAGUAAUACAUCGGAACGUGCCCGAUCGUGGGGGAUAACGAAGCGAAAGCUUUGCUAAUACCGCAUAAGAUCUACGGAUGAAAGCAGGGGACCGCAAGGCCUUGCGCGAACGGAGCGGCCGAUGGCAGAUUAGGUAGUUGGUGGGAUAAAAGCUUACCAAGCCGACGAUCUGUAGCUGGUCUGAGAGGACGACCAGCCACACUGGGACUGAGACACGGCCCAGACUCCUACGGGAGGCAGCAGUGGGGAAUUUUGGACAAUGGGCGAAAGCCUGAUCCAGCCAUGCCGCGUGCAGGAUGAAGGCCUUCGGGUUGUAAACUGCUUUUGUACGGAACGAAAAGACUCCUUCUAAUAAAGAGGGUCCAUGACGGUACCGUAAGAAUAAGCACCGGCUAACUACGUGCCAGCAGCCGCCGUAA